GAGUAACACGUGGGUAACCUACCUAUAAGACUGGGAUAACUUCGGGAAACCGGAGCUAAUACCGGAUAACAUUUGGAACCGCAUGGUUCUAAAGUGAAAGAUGGUUUUGCUAUCACUUAUAGAUGGACCCGCGCCGUAUUAGCUAGUUGGUAAGGUAACGGCUUACCAAGGCGACGAUACGUAGCCGACCUGAGAGGGUGAUCGGCCACACUGGAACUGAGACACGGUCCAGACUCCUACGGGAGGCAGCAGUAGGGAAUCUUCCGCAAUGGGCGAAAGCCUGACGGAGCAACGCCGCGUGAGUGAUGAAGGGUUUCGGCUCGUAAAACUCUGUUAUUAGGGAAGAACAAAUGUGUAAGUAACUGUGCACGUCUUGACGGUACCUAAUCAGAAAGCCACGGCUAACUACGUGCCAGCAGCCGCGGUAAUACGUAGGUGGCAAGCGUUAUCCGGAAUUAUUGGGCGUAAAGCGCGCGUAGGCGGUUUCUUAAGUCUGAUGUGAAAGCCCACGGCUCAACCGUGGAGGGUCAUUGGAAACUGGGAAACUUGAGUGCAGAAGAGGAAAGUGGAAUUCCAUGUGUAGCGGUGAAAUGCGCAGAGAUAUGGAGGAACACCAGUGGCGAAGGCGACUUUCUGGUCUGUAACUGACGCUGAUGUGCGAAAGCGUGGGGAUCAAACAGGAUUAGAUACCCUGGUAGUCCACGCCGUAAACGAUGAGUGCUAAGUGUUAGGGGGUUUCCGCCCCUUAGUGCUGCAGCUAACGCAUUAAGCACU
RNAcentral lists this ribosomal RNA (774 nucleotides) under Staphylococcus sp. RNAcentral's name for it is "bacterial SSU rRNA". It matches the Rfam family "Bacterial small subunit ribosomal RNA", at positions 108 to 868 of the family's 1533-position model. The record is from RNAcentral. Lineage: Bacteria; Bacillati; Bacillota; Bacilli; Caryophanales; Staphylococcaceae.